RNAcentral lists this non-coding RNA (250 nucleotides) under Thermincola sp. RNAcentral's name for it is "T-box sequence". It matches the Rfam family "T-box leader". From Rfam's summary of the family: Uncharged tRNA acts as the effector for transcription antitermination of genes in the T-box leader family. T-boxes are found upstream of many aminoacyl-tRNA synthetase genes and some amino acid biosynthetic genes usually in Gram-positive bacteria. The record is from RNAcentral. Lineage: Bacteria; Bacillati; Bacillota; Clostridia; Eubacteriales; Thermincolaceae.
CUAAAGGUUAUGACGGGAAAGAGUAGAUUUGGUAGUAUUUGCCCAGAGAGCGGGGGGAAGGUGCGAGCCCUGCCAAAGAACCCAUUUUGAACAUGGUCCCAGAACCGAAGGCUGAAAUUUAUUUAAGAGUAGGCUAUUACGGGUAAGCUCCGUUAUGCAGCUUCGGGUAUGACUGUACCUGGUAGAGGCUUUUACUUUAAGUAAAAGUAAAAUUGGGUGGUACCACGAAGGUGUUCCUCUCGUCCCAUUA